CAUGUGCCCGUAAUUCACCUCCAGCACCGCGUAAAAUCCACCCGUAAUCACUGGGUCUCCACCCGUAAUUGUACGUGUAAUUGGUUACAUGUGCCCGUAAUUCACCUCCAGCACCGCGUAAAAUCCACCCGUAAUCACUGGGUCUUCACCCGUAAUUUCGCGUGUAAUUGGUUACAUGCGCCUGUAAUUCACCUCCAACACCGCGUAAAAUCCACCCGUAAUCACUGGGUCUUCACCCGUAAUUUCGCGUGUAAUUGGUUACAUGCGCCCGUAAUUCACCUCCAACACCGCGUAAAAUCCACCCGUAAUCACUGGGUCUUCACCCGUAAUUUCGCGUGUAAUUGGUUACAUGCGCCCGUAAUUCACCUCCAGCACCGCGUAAAAUCCACCCGUAAUCACUGGGUCUUCACCCGUAAUUUUGCGUGUAAUUGGUUACAUGCGCCCGUAAUUCACCUCCAGCACCGCGUAAAAUCCACCCGUAAUCACUGGGUCUUCACCCGUAAUUUUGCGUGUAAUUGGUUACAUGCGCCCGUAAUUAAC
Molecule: long non-coding RNA, 540 nt
Filed under: Volvox carteri
Lineage: Eukaryota; Viridiplantae; Chlorophyta; Chlorophyceae; Chlamydomonadales; Volvocaceae
Description: long non-coding RNA (VCAR_LNC003099)
Source: RNAcentral